AACACGGAAGUGAACAGAAAUCUACGCAUUACCAGAAGCAGAAAAUUCAUUUUCCCUGCGAGUGAAACAGAAAACAAAAAAAAUGGUCUGAUUGAUCAUAAAAGCCGGCUGCUACGUGGCGAGGAAGAUCCGGGCUGCUGUGUCUGGGGAGCAACCAGAGGAGCCAAUUACCACACCAUGUAGUGCUAAAGCUCAAAAGAAGGCACUACGCGGGUCCUGAGGAAGCGCCCCAGCAGCUGCACUGAUGCCAGAAUCGGAGGAAGGAGUCAGUGGAGCUGCAAGGUCAGGGAUGUCCUCAGAGAUGGCUGUGGCCCCUGUGGUAUGUGGCCCCUGAGGUUAAAGACUGGACACUGAGAAGUGUGGUCAAUUCACUGGAAGAUUUGUCAUCUUUGUACAUUUGCAAUACAUGGAAAGAGUGCAUUCUCUAUACAGAGACCUAUACUUAAGUAAAAUGUUCAACAUUCUUUUUUGUCCAAACAGAGUGAGCAAACACUCUCUCUGUUAAACUGCAAUUGUUCUAGUAAUCUCCAAUAAGUGACAGUGCUGCAAUCCGUGUCCAGCUCCUUUAUAAUACACCUUAAACCCUAAUUCACAGCAGAUAUUUGACUUGCCAUGGAAAAUACACAAAUGCAAAUAAUAACAGCAAUAAUAUAUAUAUUCUCUGUUUUGUGUGACAAAAUGCACAUUAUUAGGGGGUACUAUAAAUGCUGAUAUUUUGUAUUAUGUACUGUAUAUGGUUAAUCAUGUUUCCUGUGAAAAAAGGCUGUUAAUCCAUUUGUGUACUGCAGGUUUUUGAAGGCCGACUCACAAACCUCUCUCCAGGGGCUGAGCAGGCCUGAUGUUCAUGCUGUUGUAUCAAUAAAUGGGAUAAAAUUA
This is a long non-coding RNA of Solea senegalensis (Senegalese sole), 876 nucleotides long. RefSeq lists it as uncharacterized. The record is from RefSeq and is a predicted model, not a curated record. NCBI's taxonomy places the organism in Eukaryota, Metazoa, Chordata, Actinopteri, Pleuronectiformes, Soleidae. The transcript has 3 exons.